This 2414-nucleotide ribosomal RNA is filed under the name human gut metagenome. Its description in RNAcentral is "bacterial LSU rRNA". It matches the Rfam family "Bacterial large subunit ribosomal RNA", at positions 14 to 2432 of the family's 2925-position model. The record is from RNAcentral.
AGGGCGCAUGGUGGAUGCCUUGGUACUAGGAGCCGAUGAAGGACGGGACUAACACCGAUAUGCCUCGGGGAGCUGUAAGUAAGCUUUGAUCCGGGGAUUUCCGAAUGGGGCAACCCAAUAGUUUUAAUCGACUAUUAUCCGCAUCUGAAUUCAUAGGAUGUGUGAAGGUAAACGUGGGGAACUGAAACAUCUCAGUACCCACAGGAACAGAAAGAAAAUUCGAUUCCCUGAGUAGCGGCGAGCGAAACGGGAACAGCCCAAACCAAGAAGCUUGCUUCUUGGGGUUGUAGGACUGAACAUUUGAGUUACCAAAGAGCUUGAUAGCUGAAGGGCCUGGGAAGGCCAGCCAGAGAGGGUGACAGCCCCGUAAGUUAAAUCAAACUCCCUCAGUUCAGGAUCCUGAGUACGGCGGAGCACGUGAAAUUCCGUCGGAAUCCGGGAGGACCAUCUCCCAAGGCUAAAUACUACCUAGUGACCGAUAGUGAACCAGUACCGUGAGGGAAAGGUGAAAAGCACCCCGGAAGGGGAGUGAAAUAGUUCUUGAAACCAUGUGCCUACAAGAAGUCAGAGCCCGUUAAUGGGUGAUGGCGUGCCUUUUGUAGAAUGAACCGGCGAGUUACGUUCGUAUGCCAGGUUAAGUUGAAGAGACGGAGCCGAAGCGAAAGCGAGUCUGAAGAGGGCGAAUUAGUAUGCGGAUGUAGACCCGAAACCAAGUGACCUACCCAUGUCCAGGUUGAAGGUGCGGUAAAACGCACUGGAGGACCGAACUCGUGUACGUUGAAAAGUGCUGAGAUGAGGUGUGGGUAGCGGUGAAAUUCCAAACGAACUUGGAGAUAGCUGGUUCUCUCCGAAAUAGCUUUAGGGCUAGCCUCGGAAUUAGGAUCGUGGAGGUAGAGCCACUGUUUGGACUAGGGGCCCGUCAUGGGUUACCGAAUUCAGAUAAACUCCGAAUGCCAUCGAUUUAUGUCCGGGAGUCAGACGGUGAGUGAUAAGAUCCAUCGUCGAAAGGGGAACAGCCCAGACCACCAGUUAAGGUCCCUAAAUAUAUGUUAAGUGGAAAAGGAUGUGGAGUUGCAUAGACAACUAGGAUGUUGGCUCAGAAGCAGCCACCAUUUAAAGAGUGCGUAAUAGCUCACUAGUCGAGUGAUCCUGCGCCGAAAAUGUACCGGGGCUUAAACAUAUUACCGAGACUGUGGAUGCCACCAUUAGGUGGCGUGAUAGGAGAGCGUUCUAAGGGCGACGAAGGCAGACCGUGAGGACUGUUGGAGCGCUUAGAAGUGAGAAUGCCGGUAUGAGUAGCGAAAGAUAGGUGAGAAUCCUAUCCACCGUAUGACUAAGGUUUCCUGGGGAAGGCUCGUCCUCCCAGGGUUAGUCGGGACCUAAGCCGAGGCCGAGAGGCGUAGGCGAUGGAUAACAGGUUGAGAUUCCUGUACUAGUUAAACUUGUUUGAACAAUGGAGGGACGCAGGAGGCUAAGGAAUGCACCCGAUUGGAAGUGGGUGUCCAAGCCGUAAGUCUGAAGUCGAGUCAAAUGCUUGAUUUCUUAAGGACAAGCGGUGAUGGGGAGUGAAAUUUAAGUAACGAAGUUCCUGACGUCACGCUGCCGAGAAAAGCUUCUAGUUAGAGUUUAACUACCCGUACCGCAAACCGACACAGGUAGUCGAGGAGAGUAUCCUAAGGUGAGCGAGAGAAUCUCGGUUAAGGAACUCGGCAAAAUGACCCCGUAACUUCGGGAGAAGGGGUGCUGAUCGCAAGAUCAGCCGCAGUGAAAAGGCCCAGGCGACUGUUUAUCAAAAACACAGGUUUCUGCAAAAUCGUAAGAUGACGUAUAGGGGCUGACGCCUGCCCGGUGCUGGAAGGUUAAGGGGAUGAGUUAGCGUAAGCGAAGCUUUGAACUGAAGCCCCAGUAAACGGCGGCCGUAACUAUAACGGUCCUAAGGUAGCGAAAUUCCUUGUCGGGUAAGUUCCGACCCGCACGAAAGGCGUAACGAUCUGGGCACUGUCUCAACGAGAGACUCGGUGAAAUUAUAAUACCCGUGAAGAUGCGGGUUACCCGCGACAGGACGGAAAGACCCCAUGGAGCUUUACUGUAACUUGAUAUUGAGUGUUUGUACAGCUUGUACAGGAUAGGUCGGAGCCGUAGAAGCCGGAACGCUAGUUUCGGAGGAGGCGCAAGUGGGAUACUACCCUCGUUGUAUGAACCCUCUAACCCGCGCCACUAAUCGUGGCGGGGACAGUGUCUGGUGGGCAGUUUGACUGGGGCGGUCGCCUCCUAAAAGGUAACGGAGGCGCCCAAAGGUUCCCUCAGAAUGGUUGGAAAUCAUUCGCAGAGUGUAAAGGCAGAAGGGAGCUUGACUGCGAGACAGACAGGUCGAGCAGGGACGAAAGUCGGGCUUAGUGAUCCGGUGGUUCCGU